CAGUAGCCACGGUAAUACGUAGGGUGCGAGCGUUAAUCGGAAUUACUGGGCGUAAAGCGUGCGCAGGCGGUUCGUUAAGACAGAUGUGAAAUCCCCGGGCUUAACCUGGGAACUGCAUUUGUGACUGGCAAGCUAGAGUAUGGCAGAGGGGGGUGGAAUUCCGCGUGUAGCAGUGAAAUGCGUAGAUAUGCGGAGGAACACCGAUGGCGAAGGCGGCCCCCUGGGCCAAUACUGACGCUCAUGCACGAAAGCGUGGGGAGCAAACAGGAUUAGAUACCCCCGUAGUCCCUGUCUCUUAUAC
Molecule: ribosomal RNA, 301 nt
Filed under: uncultured bacterium
Lineage: Bacteria
Description: partial 16S ribosomal RNA
Rfam family: Bacterial small subunit ribosomal RNA
Source: RNAcentral